AUGAACGCUGACAGAAUGCUUAACCCAUGCAAGUCAACUUGAACUUCGGUUUGGGUGGCGGACGGGUGAGUAACGCGUAACGAACUUGCCUCACAGUUAGGGACAACAUUUGGAAACGAAUGCUAAUACCUGAUAUUAUGAUUUUAGGGCAUCCUAGAAUUAUGAAAGCUAUAUGCGCUGUGAGAGAGCUUUGCGUCCCAUUAGCUAGUUGGAGAGGUAACGGCUCACCAAGGCGAUGAUGGGUAGCCGGCCUGAGAGGGUGAACGGCCACAAGGGGACUGAGACACGGCCCUUACUCCUACGGGAGGCAGCAGUGGGGAAUAUUGGACAAUGGACCAAGAGUCUGAUCCAGCAAUUCUGUGUGCACGAUGAAGUUUUUCGGAAUGUAAAGUGCUUUCAGUUGGGAAGAAAAAAAUGACGAUACCAACAGAAGAAGUGACGGCUAAAUACGUG
RNAcentral lists this ribosomal RNA (453 nucleotides) under uncultured bacterium. Its description in RNAcentral is "partial 16S ribosomal RNA". It matches the Rfam family "Bacterial small subunit ribosomal RNA", at positions 29 to 507 of the family's 1533-position model. The record is from RNAcentral.